Molecule: ribosomal RNA, 438 nt
Filed under: uncultured bacterium
Lineage: Bacteria
Description: partial 16S ribosomal RNA
Rfam family: Bacterial small subunit ribosomal RNA
Source: RNAcentral
CCUACGGGUGGCAGCAGUGGGGAAUAUUGCACAAUGGGGGAAACCCUGAUGCAGCGACGCCGCGUGAGUGAAGAAGUAAUUCGGUAUGUAAAGCUCUAUCAGCAGGGAAGAAAAUGACGGUACCUGAGUAAGAAGCCCCGGCUAACUACGUGCCAGCAGCCGCGGUAAUAAGUGGGGGGCAAGCGUUAUCCGGUUUUACUGGGGGUAAAGGGAGCGUAGACGGCAGUGCAAGUCUGGAGUGAAAGGCGGGGGCACAACCCCCGGACUGCGCUGGAAACUGUACGGCUGGAGUGCAGGAGAGGUAAGUGGAAGUCAGAGUGUAGCGGUGAAAUGCGUAUAUUAGGAGGAACACCAGUGGCGAAGGCGGCUGACUGGACUGUAACUGACGUUGAGGCUCGAAAGCGUGGGGAGCAAACAGGAUUAGAUACCCCAGUAGUC